GAUGAAGAACGUAGUGAAAUGCGAUAAGUAAUGUGAAUUGCAGAAUCUCGUGAAUCAUUGAAUCUUUGAACGCACAUUGCGCCCUAUGGUAUUCCGUAGGGCAUGCCUGUCUGAGCGUUAGCUCACACCCCUCAAACUACUUUAUUGUUGGUUUGGAUGACUUUGGGAAAGCAUUAUAAAAAAAAAAAAUUUUUUUUUCUUAUGCCUCUCAGAAAUCUAUAGGCGGUACGGUUCCAACAAAACCAGAACGUAGUAAUUAAUUUUUAUAUCGUUCGUUUAUAUUUUGGAGGAGCUGUUGGCUUGCCUUUUGAACCCACAUAUUUAUUCUUAGGAAUAACCUCAGAUCAGGUAGGGAUACCCGCUGAACUUAAGCAUAUCAAUAAGCGGAGGA
RNAcentral lists this unclassified non-coding RNA (391 nucleotides) under soil metagenome. RNAcentral describes it as "partial contains 5.8S ribosomal RNA, internal transcribed spacer 2, and large subunit ribosomal RNA". The stretch from base 1 to 120 matches the Rfam family "5.8S ribosomal RNA", at positions 35 to 154 of the family's 154-position model. The record is from RNAcentral.